CUACGGGGUGCUGCAGUGAGGAAUAUUGCACAAUGGGGGGAACCCUGAUGCAGCAACGCCGCGUGGAGGAUGACGCAUUUCGGUGUGUAAACUCCUUUUAUAUGUCAAGAAAAUGACGGUAGCAUAUGAAUAAGCACCGGCUAACUCCGUGCCAGCAGCCGCGGUAAUACGGAGGGUGCAAGCGUUACUCGGAAUCACUGGGCGUAAAAGACGCGUAGGCGGGGUGGAAAGUCAGGUGUGAAAUCCUACAGCUUAACUGUAGAACUGCACUUGAAACUUCUAAUCUAGAGUAUGGGAGGGGGAGAUGGAAUUAGUGGUGUAGGGGUAAAAUCCGUAGAUAUCACUAGGAAUACCUAAAGCGAAGGCGAUCUCCUGGAACAUUACUGACGCUAAGGCGUGAAAGCGUGGGGAGCAAACAGGAUUAGAUACCCGUGUAGUC
Molecule: ribosomal RNA, 439 nt
Filed under: uncultured bacterium
Lineage: Bacteria
Description: partial 16S ribosomal RNA
Rfam family: Bacterial small subunit ribosomal RNA
Source: RNAcentral